AGUGAAAAACUAUAGAAAACAUUCAUAAAUAAAUAUAUAUAUGUAAAGAGAAUAUAUUCUCUUUAAACUUGGCGCGCUAAGUAUGAUCCGCGCGCCUCUAUGAUGGUAUAUAAGCAAAGAAAAGUGAGAACGUAUUUAGUUUAUAAAUUUCGUUAAAUAAAGAAACAUUAGUAGUUGUUAUUAACCGUACGGGUGAUCAACGAAUAGUGUUGUGAAAGAAGGACGAAUAACUGACGUUAUCAUCGUCGUUUCUCUUAUUUUACAGAGAAACUAAUUGGACAACUUAUAUGGACCAUUCUAAACCCACGAUAUAGAAAAA
Molecule: long non-coding RNA, 319 nt
Filed under: Polistes fuscatus (common paper wasp)
Lineage: Eukaryota; Metazoa; Arthropoda; Insecta; Hymenoptera; Vespidae
Description: uncharacterized LOC122521779
Source: RNAcentral